Molecule: ribosomal RNA, 492 nt
Filed under: uncultured bacterium
Lineage: Bacteria
Description: partial 16S ribosomal RNA
Rfam family: Bacterial small subunit ribosomal RNA
Source: RNAcentral
AGUGAACGCUGGCGGUAGGCCUAACACAUGCAAGUCGAACGGCAGCACAGUAAGAGCUUGCUCUUACGGGUUGCGAGUGGCGGACGGGUGAGGAAUACAUCGGAAUCUACUUUUUCGUGGGGGAUAACGUAGGUAAACUUACGCUAAUACCGCAUACGACCUACGGGUGAAAGCAGGGGAUCUUCGGACCUUGCGCGAUUGAAUGAGCCGAUGUCGGAUUAGCUAGUUGGCGGGGUAAAGGCCCACCAAGGCGACGAUCCGUAGCUGGUCUGAGAGGAUGAUCAGCCACACUGGAACUGAGACACGGUCCAGACUCCUAAGGGAGGCAGCAGUGGGGAAUAUUGGACAAUGGGCGCGAGUCUGAUCCAGCCAUACCGUGUGGGUGAAGAAGGACUUCGGGUUGGAAAGACGUUUUGUUGGGAAAGAAAAGCAGAAGGUUAAGACGCCGCUGGUGUGACGGUACCAAAAGAAUAAGCACCGGCUAACUUCGUG